This 949-nucleotide ribosomal RNA is filed under the name Candidatus Poribacteria bacterium. Its description in RNAcentral is "partial 23S ribosomal RNA". It matches the Rfam family "Bacterial large subunit ribosomal RNA", at positions 1984 to 2925 of the family's 2925-position model. Lineage: Bacteria; Candidatus Poribacteria. The record is from RNAcentral.
CGACCUGCACGAAUGGCGUAACGAUCUGGGCACUGUCUCAACAAGAGACUCGGUGAAAUUGUAGCACCAGUGAAGAUGCUGGUAACCCGCAACUAGACGGAAAGACCCCGUGAACCUUUACUAUAGCCUGACAUUGAAUCUGGGUAUGGUAUGUAGAGGAUAGGUGGGAGACUAUGAAGCGUGGGCGUUAGCCUGCGUGGAGUCAACCUUGGAAUACCACCCUUACUUGAUUAGUGUUCUAACCUAGGCUCGUGAAUCCGGGCUGGGGACAGUGUCAGGCGGGCAGUUUGACUGGGGCGGUCGCCUCCCAAAAAGUAACGGAGGCGCCCAAAGGUUCCCUCAGCAUGAUUGGAAACCAUGCGCAGAGUGUAAAGGCAGAAGGGAGCCUGACUGUGAGACUCACAAGUCGAGCAGAUGCGAAAGCAGGGCUUAGUGAUCCGGCGAUCCCGUAUGGAAGGGUCGUUGCUCAACGGACAAAAGGUACGCCGGGGAUAACAGGCUUAUCUCCUCCAAGAGUUCACAUCGACGAGGAGGUUUGGCACCUCGAUGUCGGCCCAUCACAUCCUGGGGCUGAAGCAGGUCCCAAGGGUUCGGCUGUUCGCCGAUUAAAGUGGUACGCGAGUUGGGUUUAGAACGUCGUGAGACAGUUCGGUCCUUAUCCGCCGUGGGCGUAGGAUACUUGAGGGGAGCUGUCCCUAGUACGAGAGGACCGGGAUGGACGCACCUAUGGUGUUCCAGUUGUUCCGCCAGGGGCAUUGCUGGGUAGCUAUGUGCGGAAGGGAUAAGCGCUGAAAGCAUCUAAGCGCCAAGCCCACCCCAAGAUAAGGUAUCCCUCCUCGAAAGAGGACUAAAGGCCCCUUGAAGACAACAAGGUUGAUAGGCCGGAUGUGGAAGCGGAGUAAUCCGUUCAGCUAACCGGUACUAAUAGGCCGUGCGGCUUGACCAAUUU